UACAGAGGGGGCAAGCGUUGUUCGGAAUUACUGGGCGUAAAGGGCUCGUAGGUGGCCAACUAAGUCGGACGUGAAAUCCCUCAGCUUAACUGGGGAACUGCGUCCGAUACUGGAUGGCUUGAGUUUGGGAGAGGGAUGCGGAAUUCCAGGUGUAGCGGUGAAAUGCGUAGAUAUCUGGAGGAACACCGGUGGCGAAGGCGGCAUCCUGGACCAACACUGACACUGAGGAGCGAAAGCCAGGGGAGCAAACGGG
Molecule: ribosomal RNA, 253 nt
Filed under: uncultured bacterium
Lineage: Bacteria
Description: partial 16S ribosomal RNA
Rfam family: Bacterial small subunit ribosomal RNA
Source: RNAcentral